RNAcentral lists this ribosomal RNA (639 nucleotides) under Methylobacterium fujisawaense. RNAcentral describes it as "bacterial SSU rRNA". It matches the Rfam family "Bacterial small subunit ribosomal RNA", at positions 24 to 709 of the family's 1533-position model. Lineage: Bacteria; Pseudomonadati; Pseudomonadota; Alphaproteobacteria; Hyphomicrobiales; Methylobacteriaceae. The record is from RNAcentral.
UCAGAGCGAACGCUGGCGGCAGGCUUAACACAUGCAAGUCGAGCGGACCUUUCGGGGUCAGCGGCGGACGGGUGAGUAACGCGUGGGAACGUGCCUUCCGGUUCGGAAUAACCCUGGGAAACUAGGGCUAAUACCGGAUACGCCCUUAUGGGGAAAGGUUUACUGCCGGAAGAUCGGCCCGCGUCUGAUUAGCUAGUUGGUGGGGUAACGGCCUACCAAGGCGACGAUCAGUAGCUGGUCUGAGAGGAUGAUCAGCCACACUGGGACUGAGACACGGCCCAGACUCCUACGGGAGGCAGCAGUGGGGAAUAUUGGACAAUGGGCGCAAGCCUGAUCCAGCCAUGCCGCGUGAGUGAUGAAGGCCUUAGGGUUGUAAAGCUCUUUUAUCCGGGACGAUAAUGACGGUACCGGAGGAAUAAGCCCCGGCUAACUUCGUGCCAGCAGCCGCGGUAAUACGAAGGGGGCUAGCGUUGCUCGGAAUCACUGGGCGUAAAGGGCGCGUAGGCGGCGUUUUAAGUCGGGGGUGAAAGCCUGUGGCUCAACCACAGAAUGGCCUUCGAUACUGGGACGCUUGAGUAUGGUAGAGGUUGGUGGAACUGCGAGUGUAGAGGUGAAAUUCGUAGAUAUUCGCAAGAACAC